AUUCCAGCUCCAAUAGCGUAUAUUAAAGUUGUUGCAGUUAAAAAGCUCGUAGUUGAAUUUCGGAGGAGAGAGCUCGGUCUCGGUUCUGCCGUGUACUGAGCGUCUCGAAUCUUUUUUCUGGGGAAACAGGGUGUCCUUUACUGGGUGCUCUGGGGAACCAGGACGAUUACCUUGAGAAAAAUAGAGUGUUCAAAGCAGGCGAUUGCUUGAAUACGUUAGCAUGGAAUAAUAAAAUAGGACUUUGGUUCUAUUUUGUUGGUUUUAAGGACCAAUGUCAUGAUGAAUAGGGACAGUUGGGGGCAUUCGUAUUCCGAAGCUAGAGGUGAAAUUCUUGGAUUUUCGGAAGACGAACUACUGCGAAAGCAUUUGCCAAGGAUGUUUUCAUUA
Molecule: ribosomal RNA, 387 nt
Filed under: Rozellomycota sp.
Lineage: Eukaryota; Fungi; Rozellomycota
Description: Cryptomycota sp. partial small subunit ribosomal RNA
Rfam family: Eukaryotic small subunit ribosomal RNA
Source: RNAcentral